GAAUGAAAAUUGUAUUUAUUAUUCAUGUAAAGAAAUCCACAGAUAUUUCCAAGACAGUUUGCUAUCCAUCCUGAUGAGUGCAACAGCUCAGGCCUCAUUAGGUGAUUGAGGCUAAUUAACUGUAAACAUGAGUCAUAUUACUUUUUUCUUCCAUGCAGUUUAAUUCUAAACAUCCCUGUCUGACCCAGACAGCCCCGUUACUCAUAUAUUUGACACUAAAGGCAUUAUAAGCAAGAAGAUGUAAACAGGAUUGAACGUCCCUGUGCCGUUGGAGAGAUCCUGAUUUUUUUGGAAGCGACGGCGCGCACGUGACGGAGCGGAGCUGCCGCGCUCACGAGCCGUUCGUUAAACCCAAGGACGACGGAGAACCAAACCGAGCCGGCUGAGACUCAUCACGGGGAAGAAACAGAGGUUUUCUCGUCAGAAAUAUUCAAGAGGAGACACGGAGACGAUGGACGGUUAUGGGCUUUCGGAUGACGAGCUUUUCUCCUCCUGUCUGCUCAACUUCACCUGCGAGGAUUCAUCUGAGCAGACAGCAAUGUGUGACUGACCAACCCCACAGGAGAACAGCACGGACCCACUGCACUGGGACGAAGGAAGAGAGCACUCACGGCACCGGAGCACCCACCUGGACCUUUCUCUUAAGUCACAUUCACUUAUCGUUGUGGUUGUUCCCUGGUGUGCGUCCUGUUCUUGUGUCUCGUCAAGCCCCGUUCUCCGUUUGGAUUUCGUCAGUUCUUCGUGUCGUUUGGAUUUCGUCAGUUCCUCGUGUCGUCUGGAUGUUCAACGGUUCCUGGGGUUCUCUUCACGCUCUUCACCGCACCACCACCGGAUCGCCAUCUCGUCCCUGCUUCACCACCACCUGAGUGUUUGUCCCCAGCCUGUGUCUUUACUCUGACCCUCAUUAUUAUUAAACUGGUUUACUUGCAUCUUGCAUCCUCUCAUUAUUCAUCACAGCAAUCUCCUUCACCUCAACUUUUUCCUUUUUUUGUCUCCGGGUUUCUGUCACAGGUGAGUGCUCCUCCCCCAACAUGGAUGAAAUCCUCCACUGGCUCACUGAGGUUAGCUUCCGCCACCAACAGAUCGUUGAGCACCUCGCCACCCAUCAAGGGGAGACAGAGCAGGAGCUUGCAUCCCUUUUUGCCGCCACCACUAAGCUGCUACCCAAGCUGACCCCCCCAUGAUGAUGUGGAAGCAUACUUGGAGAUGUUUGAAACCACGGCAACCUCGGAGGGAUGGCAUACAGACGACUGGGCAGGAGUGCUGGCUUCCUUGCUGACGGGUGAAGCCCAGCGUGCAUACUUCUCUCUAACCGCCGCCUCCGCUGAUCAGUAUACGGUGGUCAAGAUGGAAAUUCUAGCUCGCCUGGGGUUAUCUGUGCUGCUCAUUACUUCCACGAGUGGGAAUAUAAGCCCCGUCUGCCGGCCCGUGCCCAGACCACAGAACUCACACGACUCGCGCAGUACUGGCUGCUGGAGGGGGCUCCAUCAGCUAGUCAGGUCGCAGAACAUGUCGUGAUAGACUGACUUCUCCAAGCCCUUCCCUGAUCUCACCGGGAGGCAGUUGGGAUGAGGAACCCAACCACCAUCUCGGAGCUCGUGGAGACUAUCGAGCUGGUGGAUGUGACCCAACAUCGGGAUGCUGGGGAGCGUGCGCCACCGUUUCCCCGGAGGGUGGUCCAGGAGCGACGUGCGCUGGAGGGUACCCAGUGACCAGUAAGCAGGCCGGUGGCUCACUCUCUGCAGGAUAAGCCCAUGCCAACGGAGGCCCCCGCAUUUCCCAUACGGACCUGGCUGGCAGGCUGUAUUGUGCACCGUGACCUGUCGGUUGGAACUCCAGAAGUGGAUGUGAAAAUAAAUGGGAAACCAUUCCGGGCCAUCCUUGACUCCGGCAGUGUGGUCACUUUGGUACAGUCUCACAUUCUCGCCCCACAAAUGGAGUAUAAAACCUUCCUCCCCAUAACCUGUGUCCACAGAGAUACACGACAAGUUCCAGCUCGCAGAGUGACCGUUUCUGCCUCUCCCGGCGCCUGGCCUGUGGAAGUUGGUGUGCUGAAGGAUCUUCCCGUCCGCAUGCUGGCUGGGAGAGACAGGCCUCAACUGGCUUCACCAACUUCGAGCUCCUCUUUUGCCAGCAAACCCUACGGCCCCCUGAAUGUGGCGAAGGAGGCCUGGGAACAACAGCCGGCGGCCCAUCGCUUGGUGAUCGAGCACGUAAAGCAGAUUAGGGAAAGGAUCAACUGAGUCAUGCCAUUAGUCCGGGAACACUUAAGUAAAGUGAAGCAGGCUCAACAGCAUCACUACAACCGGGCAGCCCAACCACGGGAGUUCCAGCCUGGAGACAGGGUCAUGGUCCUAGUCCCCAAUGCUGCGUGCAAGUUCCUGGCCACCUGGCAGGGUCCCUACGUGGUGCUGGAAAGGAUUGGGCCGGUGACUUACUGUGUGUAUCAGCCAGGAAGGAGGAGAGCCGAGCAGCUCUACCACAUCAACCUUCUGAAGGUUGGGACUAGAGACCAGCUCGCAGCCCUCGCCAUCUCUGAUUGGGCCGACUGGGAAGGGCCCGUGGCCACUGGCAGUACCGGACACUUCCCUUUGGCCUCCACGGGCCACCCGCCACGUUCCAGCGGAUGAUGGACAUCCUGUUGCGGACCCAUCAGUCUUAUGCCGCUGCCUAUCUGGAUGACAUCGUAAUCCACUCAGAGGCAUGGGAAGACCACCUGGACUGGUUACGGACGGUGCUCUCAGAGCUCCGGAGGGCUGGACUCACCGCAGGAGAAGAAGGUGGAGGCGGCACGCUCCGCAUUGAGACCCGAGACCAAGACCCAG
Long non-coding RNA from Cyprinus carpio carpio, 2825 nucleotides. Lineage: Eukaryota; Metazoa; Chordata; Actinopteri; Cypriniformes; Cyprinidae. The record is from Ensembl.